GUGCUUGCCUUGGCAGCACAUAUAUUAAAAUUGGAAUGAUACAAAGAAGAUUAGCAUGGCUCCUGCAGAAGGAUGACAUGCAAAUUAGUGAAGCAUUUCAUAUUUUU
This is a small nuclear RNA of Saimiri boliviensis boliviensis (Bolivian squirrel monkey), 107 nucleotides long. NCBI's taxonomy places the organism in Eukaryota, Metazoa, Chordata, Mammalia, Primates, Cebidae. The record is from Ensembl.